AUGGUUUUUCUCCUUGAUAAAAAUCCAAUUGCUUGGAUGUCUCAAAAGCAAAGAGUGGCGGCACAAUCUUCAUGUGAAGCUGAAUACAUUGCUGCUGCCAUUGUUGCAUCCCAUGGAGUAUGGUUGGAGCGCCUGCUAGCUGAGAUGGUCGAGAGAGAACCCGAGAAGGUGAUGUUAUUUGUCGAGAACAAGGCAGCAAUAUCACUGAGUAACAACCCUGUCGACCAUGAGCGAAGUAAACAUAUUGAUAUUCGCUACCAUUUCAUCCGUGAAUGUGUGGAGGAAGGGAAGGUGAAGGUAAAGCAUGUGGCAUCUAAUGAACAACUUGCAGACCUCCUGAUGAAGCCUCUGGGUCGUGUGAAGUUUGAAGAACUUCGGCGCAGAGUUGGAGUGGUGAACGUCAAAGACAAUCGCUAA
RNAcentral lists this ribosomal RNA (417 nucleotides) under Triticum aestivum (bread wheat). RNAcentral's name for it is "partial small subunit ribosomal RNA". The record is from RNAcentral. Lineage: Eukaryota; Viridiplantae; Streptophyta; Magnoliopsida; Poales; Poaceae.